RNAcentral lists this long non-coding RNA (1580 nucleotides) under Solanum tuberosum (potato). Its description in RNAcentral is "long non-coding RNA (STUB_LNC010693)". Lineage: Eukaryota; Viridiplantae; Streptophyta; Magnoliopsida; Solanales; Solanaceae. The record is from RNAcentral.
AAUUAUAAUAUUUUCCUUAUUCAAAGGAAAUACAAUCAAAUUUAAUUUACCAAAUAUAAGCAAAUAAGCACCUGUCAAUUUAAUUAAAGCAACACAAAUCAAUUACCAGAAAUCAAUGCAUUAAAAUAAAAUCAAGCCAACGUGUGACGAUUGCCUUAAAGGAAAGAAAAAAUAAAUAUACAGCCCACAAUAAGUCAUAAUAGUGAUAAGCUAACAUAUUUAAUAUAUACUUGCUAUGCACAAUUAAGUAUAAAGUUAUUACCCGCAAUUUGCUCACAAUGAAGCCAACAUCAAACCUUUGAUAUCAAUACAAACAAAUCCAUUUAGAUAUAUUUUACAAUAUAUAACUUACGAAUUUAUAUACUCAAAGCACUAAACCCGAUAGAUAUAUAAUUGACACAAUAUUACCGAAUAACUUUAACUUCCUGCAAUAUACUUACCUUGUGACCUCCCAAUAUAGCUGUGAAUAUACCAAAUAGACCACCAAUGGUCAUAAACAAAAUUUAUUCAAGCUAAGUAAGGAAAUAGUCAAUCCAAAAUCUAGGAUGAUUAGAGGAAUCAAUUAGUAAUCCCAAAAUUACUAUACCAUGACGUGUUAGCCAUUACAAAUACCAUCCACAAAUUCAGUACUUUAAACGCACAUUAAGUCAUAAUUAAGCUAAUUAAGCAGAUUCAGGAACAAAUAAAAGGGAAACGGCAAACAUAAUCGAUGCACAAGCAUUAUGAGAUGAUUAGAAGUUUACGGUCAAAUUUUAAAACAAACUCAUGGAAUAAAUCAAUGGCCCUCAAAACAAUAGCAAGCUAAAACAAGUGCAGGUGAAUCAUGAGCAAAUUCAGUCAAUAUCGAUCAUUUAUAUAACUCAAACAAGAAACACAACAAUUCAUGCUUAAAUUAAGAUUGACAACUAAUUUGAUUUUUAAGUAAAUAUUCAUAAAAAUGGCAGAAACUCAAGGUCAAAUUUAAGCUAAUUAUUAGAAGACCGAUAAUAAUUAAACAAAGUCAAACCUAGACGGAUCUGUCGAGAUCCUUCUUGUGCAAAAUUUCAGAACUUCGAGGCUCGCCGGAGCUUGCUGCCUCGUUGGUUCGGAGCUGCUGCCUGCGAGGACUCGCCUGGCUGCUGGUCGGAGCAGGUGUUGUUGUUGCUCAUUGACCACGUUGAGCGGAGCUCGCUUGGCUGCUCGUUGCUGCUGGUCGAAGCUGGCUGGUUUUUCGCCGGCGUCGCUGGCAUCACGCUGCUGCUACCUUCGCUGGUGGCGUUCGUUGGCUCGUCCCUGCAGGAGAAAUAGCGAAGGGAAGGGACAGGGGAGAGAAAGAGGAGAAGAGAGGAGGGCUCGCCGGCGUUCGCUUCUCGCCGGAGAAGAGGAGAGAAGGACGAAGGGGAGGGGAGGCGGCGCUGUAGAGAGAAGAGAAGAAGAGAGUGAAUAAUGCUUUAGGGUUGGGUUCUUUUAGGUUAAAUUAGGAAAUAAGGGUAGGUUUGAUCUGGUCCGUCGAGUUAAUUCACGAUGAACGGUUAGGAUUUAUCUUAAAGGGUGGACGGAUGAGAUGAGAGUUGUAAUGGAUUUAGAAUGGCCAAAAUUGC